Molecule: non-coding RNA, 1054 nt
Organism: Pelodiscus sinensis (Chinese soft-shelled turtle)
Lineage: Eukaryota; Metazoa; Chordata; Testudines; Trionychidae
Source: RefSeq, a predicted model, not a curated record
CUUCACCAUCCUCCUACUGAAAUAGUUUUUCCUAAAAUCCAGCCGAGCCCUCCCCAUUGCUCCUUGUCCUGUCAUCUGCCACAACUGAUAACAGCUUGGUUUCAUUCAUUUGCUUUGGAACCCUCUUUCAGGUAAUUUGAAGGCUCAGAUCUUCCUCACUCAUCUCUUUUGCAGACUGAAUUAGCCCAGUUCCCUCAGCCUCUCGUCAUAAAUCCUGUGUUUCAGCCCCCUAAACAUUUUCAUUGUCCUCUGCUGGACUCGCUCCAAUUUGUCCACAUCCUUUCUGUAAUAUGGGGGCCCAAAACUGGAUACGAUUCUCCAGAUGUGGCCUCACCAGUGCCAAAUAGAAGAGAAUAAUCAUGUCCGUUGAUCUGCUGAUACUGCUCCUAGUUAUUGCAGCCCAAUAUGCCAUUCACCUUCUUGGCAACAAGGGCACACUGUUGACUCAUAUCCAACUUCUCAUCCGUGUAAUUCCUAGGUCCUUUUCUGCAAAACUGCCAUUUAGCCAGUCAGUCCCUAGCCUGUAGCUGUGCAUGUGAUUCUUUCAUCCGUUUUGAAAAUGCUUCAUGGCAGCCCUGUACAAAAGUUCAUUUUUUAUCCUUCUAAAAUUGUUAAUUUUGUCUUUUUCUAAAUGAGAUUGAUGCCUUCCAGCCAAAAUGCUUUCAUGUCUUUGUCAGCGGCGAGCAAGAAACGUCUUGCAGUAUUUGAAGCAAAGUCUAAUUAUUUCUAGGUUAAAACUGCAACAUUACUAUUGUCUCUUCUUUGUACAUUCAAAUGGAAGCUACAAUGGAAGAACUCAGAUUGUUGAUUUACAGGUCUUCAGAGAUGGCAUAGUGAUCUGUAAUAUACUGCAUCCUUGCUAUAUAGACCAGUCUGGGAAAAGACUGUGUUAUAGGAAUGUCACCAUGUCUGUUUUGGUCCUCAGGUGAAAGUGAUUUGGUGACUGGAGAAUGAUAUUUUACUGAUGGAAACAGAGCACAUCCUCAACUAUCCCUAAGCAAUGGGCCAAUGACAUGGACUUGGAAAAAGCUGGUUGUCAAAAAAAAAAAAAAAA